This 253-nucleotide ribosomal RNA is filed under the name uncultured bacterium. RNAcentral's name for it is "partial 16S ribosomal RNA". It matches the Rfam family "Bacterial small subunit ribosomal RNA", at positions 524 to 776 of the family's 1533-position model. The record is from RNAcentral.
GACGAACCGAGCGAACGUUGUUCGGAAUCACUGGGCUUAAAGGGCGCGUAGGCGGGUGCUCAAGUCCGGGGUGAAAUCCCACAGCUCAACUGUGGAACUGCCUCGGAUACUGGGCGUCUCGAGUGUGGUAGGGGUAUGCGGAACUAUCGGUGGAGCGGUGAAAUGCGUUGAUAUCGAUAGGAACUCCGGUGGCGAAGGCGGCAUACUGGACCACCACUGACGCUGAUGCGCGAAAGCCAGGGGAGCAAACGGG